Molecule: ribosomal RNA, 492 nt
Filed under: uncultured bacterium
Lineage: Bacteria
Description: partial 16S ribosomal RNA
Rfam family: Bacterial small subunit ribosomal RNA
Source: RNAcentral
AGUGAACGCUGGCGGUAGGCCUAACACAUGCAAGUCGAACGGCAGCACAGUAAGAGCUUGCUCUUACGGGUGGCGAGUGGCGGACGGGUGAGGAAUACAUCGGAAUCUACUUUUUCGUGGGGGAUAACGCAGGGAAACUUACGCCAAUACCGCAUACGACCUACGGGUGAAAGCAGGGGAUCUUCGGACCUUGCGCGAGUGAAUGAGCCGAUGUCGGAUUAGCUAGUUGGCGGGGUAAAGGCCCACCAAGGCGACGAUCCGUAGCUGGUCUGAGAGGAUGAUCAGCCACACUGGAACUGAGACACGGUCCAGACUCCUACGGGAGGCAGCAGUGGGGAAUAUUGGACAAUGGGCGAAAGCCUGAUCCAGCCAUGCCGCGUGGGUGAAGAAGGCCUUCGGGUUGUAAAGCCCUUUUGUUGGGAAAGAAAAGCAGCAGGUUAAUACCCCGCUGUUCUGACGGUACCCAAAGAAUAAGCACCGGCUAACUUCGUG